AUAGAAGCUCUGCGAGCCCAGAUCCAGGAGAAAAUGAGGCUGUAUAAUAUUACUUUACCUCCACUAUGCUGCUGUGGUCCUGAUUUUUGGGAUGCUCAUCCUGAUACCUGUGCCAACAAUUGUAUUUUCUAUAAAAACCAUAGAGCAUAUACCCGGGCACUACAUUCGGUCAUCAAUUCCUGUGAUAUCCCGGAGGGGACCUCAACUGUUCGAGUUGCCAUGCAUAAUUUGGCUUCUGCACACAGACGGACUUUGAAAAAUCUAUAAUGAGAAUCCGAAUCCAAUUGUUAGUAUUUCAGUCUUCACUUAAAAUCAACCCUGAGAGAUUAUUUAGGAAAACUGUUAAAAUGUAUAAGACGUGUAACCUGGAAAGAAGGACUGUCCCAACGUGACAACCAUCUCUAUAAUUAGAUCAUAACCAUUGUUUCAGUCUCUGCUUGGACUGAAAUUGAAAGUCGACCUCUAAACUUGUGUUUUUGCUGUGAACUAUAUAGAGUCUAUUGUUUUAAAAAUGAUCAGUCAGACCAGUAAGGUUUUUUUUACUUAGCUCUGCUCUGAUCAGAGGAGAUCAUGAGAAAUCUUUGAGAUUAUCUCAUUUAUUAUCUUUCUAAAACUGUAUCUUUGAAUCUUGACAAGAUUGAAAAUGUCUAGAUAAAGCCAAAAAGAUGAUGAAAUGAGUUUCUAAGUAUCAGUGGCCAUCUGUAUUGCUGAUAGCUUUUCUAGUUGUGUAUAACAGUUAGAGGUGAGAAGAAUCUGAAUUUGAUGCACAUUUUUUUUCUCAAGAUUUUUCUUUCCUGGUUUUUUAACUUAUUACCUCUUUCCCCAUUCAGUGACAUUGGACUUAGGACUUUUUAAUUUUAUAAUUUUGUAUUGCAAAAAUAAAGUGAAUAAACCUUCUGUCUUUUGAG
This is a non-coding RNA of Callorhinus ursinus (northern fur seal), 908 nucleotides long. The record is from RefSeq and is a predicted model, not a curated record. NCBI's taxonomy places the organism in Eukaryota, Metazoa, Chordata, Mammalia, Carnivora, Otariidae.